This 467-nucleotide ribosomal RNA is filed under the name uncultured bacterium. RNAcentral describes it as "partial 16S ribosomal RNA". It matches the Rfam family "Bacterial small subunit ribosomal RNA", at positions 28 to 506 of the family's 1533-position model. The record is from RNAcentral.
GACGAACGCUGGCGGCGUGCUUAACACAUGCAAGUCGAACGGAAAGGCCCUGCUUUUGUGGGGUGCUCGAGUGGCGAACGGGUGAGUAACACGUGAGUAACCUGCCCUUGACUUUGGGAUAACUUCAGGAAACUGGGGCUAAUACCGGAUAGGAGCUCCUGCUGCAUGGUGGGGGUUGGAAAGUUUCGGCGGUUGGGGAUGGACUCGCGGCUUAUCAGCUUGUUGGUGGGGUAGUGGCUUACCAAGGCUUUGACGGGUAGCCGGCCUGAGAGGGUGACCGGCCACAUUGGGACUGAGAUACGGCCAAGACUCCUACGGGAGGCAGCAGUGGGGAAUAUUGCACAAUGGGCGGAAGCCUGAUGCAGCAACGCCGCGUGCGGGAUGACGGCCUUCGGGUUGUAAACCGCUUUCGCCUGUGACGAAGCGUGAGUGACGGUAAUGGGGAAAGAAGCACCGGCUAACUACGU